RNAcentral lists this transfer RNA (61 nucleotides) under Austropotamobius torrentium (stone crayfish). Its description in RNAcentral is "tRNA-Ala". Lineage: Eukaryota; Metazoa; Arthropoda; Malacostraca; Decapoda; Astacidae. The record is from RNAcentral.
GGAAUUAUAGUCAACUAUGAUAUAUGAUUUGCACUCAUAAGGUGUUCAAGAACUAAUUUUA